UAAAGUUUUCUUUAGUUUGAAUAUCAAAAUGUAUUCUAUGGCCUUGUAUAUUCCAAAACAUUCACCAGUGAACACUGAUGUUUCAGAUGGUAAUUUUAUCUUUUCAACUAUUUUUGAUUGCGAAUGGUAGACUCCUACACCAACACAACCUUGAGGGUGUUUGGAAGCAUCUGUAUAUAUAUGGUUAUAGUCAUUCCAGUCUUGGUCUAUUACAAAAUUAAAGUUAGUAUUUGGUUGGGGUUGAUACUUAGAAAUACCCAUGUCAAGAUGAAUAUCCGGUUUUAAAAUCAAUGCCAUAUAGUUUACACAAAAUAGAGGGAAAAUAUGAGAGUGAUUAGUUGGAGUUUGAAUAGACAAAUAUUUUCUGUAGCUAAUUAUUAAACAUGGUAACUGUUUAUGUUUCCAAAAUGAAGAGUACCGGUAAAAUGGGGCGAUUAGGGAUUGACAGGCGAAUCGGGAAAAAACCGGGAAAAUCUUUCGACGCUCAAUAUAAGUUUUAUAUUCGUUGCAAAAUCUUCCAUUUUUUGUAGUUUAAUAGUAGAAUGUUGAAAGUUUAUACAACAACUCUGAAUAUGCAUGAUAAUAGCUGCUAACUUAUAAAAAAUCGCGUUUCAAAUUAACUUCCUGUGGUGGUCAUUAUUUUAGUGCUAGAAACUUUGCUCUCUUUUAUUUAUUUGAUAAUAAUAGAAGACGACUAUGAUUUAUAAACGUUAUUUAGUGUUUGAACCAGCAUAUAUAUUAAAGGAAAGUCUCAGUUGUUAUUGUUUUUAAUGUAUUUGAUUAAAUAAAAAUACAUGUAAAAAUCUGUUGUUUUUGGGGAUAUUGGGGACGUCUUAGGUACAAAUAACAACGAAAAAGGAGUCAAUUGGGAUGAGAAUACGUGAAAUGGAAACGACCUAAGUAUAAAUAGGUACAUGUUUGUAGGGUUGUCUAUGUAGUUAUAACAAUUUUUUUUAAAUUUGUUGGUAAAAAUCUGGUUUAUUCGAAGCGAAAUUGGGAAUAAGUCUUUAUUUGAAAUAGAUAAGCAAUUUAAUAUAAGUAAGUCGAUUUUGCAGAGACAUGUAACAAGAUCAAUGAAAUCUCAAGGUGGACAAAAAUGUCUAAGUAAUACAUAAUAAAAUAUUUAAUAUUUGUUCAUCUGAUUAAUCCAUGGAAUAACCGACACACCUAAUCUCUUAACCCAGAUAGAAAUAUCAGCACUGUCGAUUGCACCUAUAAUUGAGGUGAUGUCUGCCAUGUACUUUUGUCAGUUUUUCAAUUUUUUUUAUUGAUGAUCACUUUGUUGGUGCAACUAAAUAAAUGAAUAAAUUAAAACUAUAUAUAAAAAUAGAAGUAGUGCCAACCCUAGGAAAUUUCUCAUUUCGUCCCAAUUAACCGCAAUUUUCGGGUAAAUAGGGAUUACACCUAUUUUUGCAUUUUUUGCUUAAACUGGAAUGCUAGUUGCAUAAUUUUAAAUUAGACAACAAAGAUGCCCCCAAGACUCAAUCAUUUUGAUCCUGAUAUAGCAUUAUAUACAUCAACAACUACCUUAAAAUUGCUCAUAAAGUUGGAAUUUGUCCCUAAUCGCCCCAUUUUACGGUAUUCUAUGAGUUCAUUUAAAGUUUUAAGUUUGGUAAUAAUGUGAUUAUUUUGAAUUUGUAGGGAUUUGAAAACGAAUUUAUCAGAUAAAUAUUGACGUCUCAAAUGAAGAGGAGGAUCAACACAUUCUACCUGUAAUGCUGUAACAGGACUAGAUUUCAUGGCUCCAGUGAUAAUUCUGAGUGAUUUAGACUGUAUAGUGUCUAGUUUUUUGAAAGCAUUCACAUCCCCUGGUUGAAGUAAAAAAGUACCAUAAUCUAAAACUGAUCUUACUAUGGCAUUAUAUAAAAGUUUUAAAUUGAAUGGGUGGGCACCCCACCAUACACCAGCAAGAGAACAUGAGAGAGCUAUGGGUCUGUAUGACAAUACAUCUGAUGAAGAUUUACCCGGUUUGAGAAUGGGUAAAAUAAUUUGUUUUUUCCAUGACUCUGGGAUAACACAUGUAAUGAACAUAGAAUUUAUAAGGUUGAGGUAAUAUGUGAGACUAGAAUCACUCAAAUGGACAAAGAAAGAAUAAGGAAUCUUAUCAUCACCUGGAGCAGAGUCCUUAAGAUUCGAGAUUACCCCCUUCAGUUCAUUAAAUGAAAAAGGUAAAUCAAAAUCUGAAACUGGAUCUGAACAUGAGAAAGGAAGGACAGACGGGAUAAGAACUAAACAUUCUUCUGGAACAUAAGGGGGAGCUAAUUUAUCAAGAAACUUGUCAGCCAGAUCAUAAGG
Bombyx mori (domestic silkworm) is the source of this 2295-nucleotide long non-coding RNA. RefSeq lists it as uncharacterized. The transcript has 2 exons. NCBI's taxonomy places the organism in Eukaryota, Metazoa, Arthropoda, Insecta, Lepidoptera, Bombycidae. The record is from RefSeq and is a predicted model, not a curated record.